UGAGGGAUAUUGGUCAAUGGGGGGAAACCCUGAACCAGCAACGCCGCGUGAGGGAAGACGGUUUUCGGAUUGUAAACCUCUGUCCUCUGUGAAGAUAAUGACGGUAGCAGAGGAGGAAGCUCCGGCUAACUACGUGCC
This 138-nucleotide ribosomal RNA is filed under the name uncultured bacterium. RNAcentral's name for it is "partial 16S ribosomal RNA". It matches the Rfam family "Bacterial small subunit ribosomal RNA", at positions 355 to 509 of the family's 1533-position model. The record is from RNAcentral.